UUUGAAGAUAUAAGCAUGAACCAGUGUGAUCUAAAAUGGCGUUAACUUCUCUUCUUGCGUUGUUCACUGUGAUGUUUAUCAGUCAUCUGAGCUCCAACACAGUAUCCAGUGACACAAUCCAACCAACACCAAUAACUGUUCAGAAAGGACAUUCUGUUCAUCUUACUAUACAAAAACGUGCAGAUGAGAUCCCACAAUCUGAUGAUUUGGAAUGGCUAAAAGACAGUUUACUUAUUGUAGUCUCAUAUAAUUUUAAAACAGUAAAGAUUCACCCUUCCUAUAAGGAGAGAGUGGAUUUUAAUAAUGGAAACUACUCUCUAACACUUAAGAACAUACAGAAGGAAGACAGUGGACUCUACACUGCUAGAGCAAGUGGAGAAUCAGAUAUCAUCAUUGGGCAAUACAAUGUGACUGUUGAUACAAGAAGUCAUGGAACCACCGGAUCUGUUUCUCUCACUUGGUUCAUAUUCCUUGUCCUUUUGGGGGCAUUAAUUUGAGGCAACUACUGUACUGGAGCUACAGACAAAAAAUAAAAAAUAAAACUAUUUUUUUUUCUUUACAGUUAUCAUUAAACUUCUUCAUUGCAUGCACACCCUUAUGAAAAAAAAGUUUAUUCAUGUGUGCUAUUAGUAUACUUCUUUAAAAAAAUAAUAACAAUAAUUUCAAUUUUCAUAGUCAUGAAAAUAAAGAAAACUCUUUGAAUGAGAAGGUGUGUCCAAACUUUUGGUCUGUACUGUAUACUAGUGGUAUAGCAUGGAACAAAUUACCAGUUUCAAUAAAGGGAGUAAAAGAUUUGAGUUUAAAAGAUUGGUAAAAAGAUGGCUGUUUGGAGAGGGUAGUAAGUGUGUUUUGUGGUGAUUUUAUUGUAAAUUGUGUCAUUUAGGGGUGUGUUUAUUGUCAGUUGUGAUUAGUAUUUUUGAUGAAUUAUCCCUACUAUAUUGAUAAAAAUUAGAUUUUUAUAAAUGUGAUUAAUUAUGAUUAGGAGAUACUGUUGCUCUGUCCAUUCUGCAUGUACACAUAACCUUUAUAUUAACACCGAGGGCCGCAAUGGAAAUAAGCCAAGGUCUUUAUUGUGUUUUUAUCCUCGACAGUUUUUCUAAAGUGUAUGGAAUACAUGUAUUUUGUACAGUUUUAUAAGCAUGUCAAAUAAAUUUCAAUUCAAUUCAACAAG
This is a long non-coding RNA of Carassius auratus (goldfish), 1171 nucleotides long. RefSeq lists it as uncharacterized. Lineage: Eukaryota; Metazoa; Chordata; Actinopteri; Cypriniformes; Cyprinidae. The record is from RefSeq and is a predicted model, not a curated record. The transcript is spliced from 3 exons.